RNAcentral lists this long non-coding RNA (778 nucleotides) under Homo sapiens (human). Its description in RNAcentral is "hepatocellular carcinoma associated transcript 5". The record is from RNAcentral. Lineage: Eukaryota; Metazoa; Chordata; Mammalia; Primates; Hominidae.
AUUCUCACUGCAAACAGGAAAAGGAAAGAGAAAAAGCAAGCUCUGUCUCCACACAAGGUUUGCUGGGCUGGCUAUGAACUGUUCCAAGAUCCCUUCAUUCUUCAGCAAUGGAUCAAAGAACUCUGAAAACAAGAACAACCCCGACAGCUGCAAACCACGAGCCCUCACCUCCAGCAGAGGUUUUCGGGAAACUCUGGACGACCACGCGCAUGCAGAGGUAAGGGAAUGAUCCGGUCCUACCUGGCGUUGACUUCCAGGUUCACUCAAAGGCCACGUGCCACCCUUUGCACAUCGUGUUUGGGUUGCAAAGGGGAAAGAUGCAUAUUGAAAGCCAGAAGUGUGCCCAGGCCAACAGACGUCUGAAAGCCACAGGGGACGACCCUGAAAAAGUCUGGCAGAUGCAGAACCACAGCUGAUCACUUUGGUCCGUUUGAGGGCCCCUUUCGCUCAGCUCUUUUGGGGGUUCCAGGGCUCUCAGAGCUUCCAGGUCCUGUAAGAAGAGAUGGAGUCAUAGCUGCGCCCUGUCCACUCUCGGGCUGUCACACAAGCCUGGAGCCCAGCCAUUUCUCGGCCUUGUCUUCAUCUUGGGCUAACCGGUCGUCUCCUGCAAACAGACAGCACGGAGAAGGAUGAGUGAACUCGGCCUCUCCCCACAGAAUACAGUUCGCCAUUACAGCGCUGAUUAAAUACAGGACAUUAUCUCACCAUAAUGCCCUCCUGGCGGCGUUCCCAGGAAAAUUCUAACUAAUCAUAAAAAUAGAAAGAAAAACGCAACCUA